UGGAUCCAGACUUUGAUCCUGGCUCAGGACGAACGCUGGCGGCGUGCCUAACACAUGCAAGUCGAACGGAGUACCCAUGACAGAGACUUCGGUUGAUGGAUUGGACUACUUAGUGGCGGACGGGUGAGUAACGCGUGAGCAACCUGCCUUACAGAGGGGGACAACAGUUGGAAACGACUGCUAAUACCGCAUAACAUAGCGGAGCCGCAUGACUCUGCUAUCAAAGAUUUAUCGCUGUAAGAUGGGCUCGCGUAUGAUUAGAUAGUUGGUGAGGUAACGGCCCACCAAGUCGACGAUCAUUAGCCGGACUGAGAGGUUGAACGGCCACAUUGGGACUGAGAUACGGCCCAGACUCCUACGGGAGGCAGCAGUGGGGAAUAUUGCGCAAUGGGGGCAACCCUGACGCAGCAACGCCGCGUGAAGGAUGAAGGUUUUCGGAUUGUAAACUUCUUUUGUCAAGGACGAAGCCAGUGACGGUACUUGACGAAUAAGCCACGGCUAACUACGUGCCAGCAGCCGCGGUAAUACGUAGGUGGCAAGCGUUGUCCGGAUUUACUGGGUGUAAAGGGCGAGUAGGCGGGUUUGCAAGUCAGAUGUGAAAUACCGGGGCUUAACCCCGGGGCUGCAUUUGAAACUGUAGAUCUUGAGUGAUGGAGAGGCAGGCGGAAUUCCCGGUGUAGCGAUGGAAUGCGUAGAUAUCGGGAGGAACACCAGUGGCGAAGGCGGCCUGCUGGACAUUAACUGACGCUGAGGAGCGAAAGCGUGGGGAGCAAACAGGAUUAGAUACCCUGGUAGUCCACGCCGUAAACGAUGGAUACUAGGUGUGGGAGGUAUUGACCCCUUCCGCGCCGGAGUAAACACAAUAAGUAUCCCACCUGGGGAGUACGGCCGCAAGGUUGCAACUCAAAUGAAUUGACGGA
Molecule: ribosomal RNA, 920 nt
Filed under: uncultured Bacillota bacterium
Lineage: Bacteria; Bacillati; Bacillota
Description: bacterial SSU rRNA
Rfam family: Bacterial small subunit ribosomal RNA
Source: RNAcentral